CCUACGGGAGGCAGCAGUAGGGAAUCUUUCACAAUGGGCGAAAGCCUGAUGGAGCAACGCCGCGUGCAGGAUGAAGGCCUUCGGGUUGUAAACUGCUUUUAUAAGCGAGAAAUAUGAUGGUAACUUAUGAAUAAGGAUCGGCUAACUACGUGCCAGCAGCCGCGGUCAUACGUAGGAUCCGAGCAUUAUCCGGAGUGACUGGGUGUAAAGAGUUGCGUAGGUGGCAUAAUAAGUAGCUAGUGAAAUCUGGUGGCUAAACUAUUCAGACUAUUAGCUAAACUGUUAAGCUCGAGACCGUUAGGGGUAACUGGAAUUUCUAGUGUAGGAGUGAAAUCCGUAGAUAUUAGAAGGAACACCAAUAGCGUAGGCAGGUUGCUGGGACGGUUCUGACACUAAGGCACGAAAGCGUAGGGAGCAAACGGGAUUAGAUACCCCAGUAGUC
Molecule: ribosomal RNA, 442 nt
Filed under: uncultured bacterium
Lineage: Bacteria
Description: partial 16S ribosomal RNA
Rfam family: Bacterial small subunit ribosomal RNA
Source: RNAcentral